GAUGAACGCUGGCGGCGUGCUUAACACAUGCAAGUCGAACGGACGGGCGAGCCUCUUGCUUCUCUCAUGUUAGCCGCGGGUGGGUGAUUCACACGUGGAUACCCUACCUAUAUGUCUGGUAUAUCUUCGGGAAACUGGAUCUAAUACCGUAUAAUAUUUUGAACCGCGUGGUUCUUUGGUCCUCUACGUUCUUGCUGUCACUUAUAGAUGUUUCCUUGCUUCUUUAGCUAGUUGUUACGGUAACGGCUUUCCAAGGCGAAGAUGCCUAGCCGACCUGAGAGGGUGAUCGGCCACACUGGAACUGAGACACGGUCCAGACUCCUACGGGAGGCAGCAGUAGGGAAUGUUGGGCAAUGGGCGAAAGCCUGACAGAGCAAAGCCGCGUGUGUGAGGAAGGUCUUCGGAGCGUAAAGCUCUGUUAGGAGGGAUGAACAGAUGUGUAAGUAAAAGUGGAGUGCUUGACGGUACCUGAUCAAAAAGCAACGGCUAACUACGUG
This 497-nucleotide ribosomal RNA is filed under the name uncultured bacterium. RNAcentral describes it as "partial 16S ribosomal RNA". It matches the Rfam family "Bacterial small subunit ribosomal RNA", at positions 28 to 507 of the family's 1533-position model. The record is from RNAcentral.